UUAACCAAGAGAGGACAAGACUGA
This 24-nucleotide non-coding RNA is filed under the name Drosophila erecta. The record is from RNAcentral. Lineage: Eukaryota; Metazoa; Arthropoda; Insecta; Diptera; Drosophilidae. RNAcentral also lists the same sequence under 1 other name.